UAUGCUCUUUUAAUGCCUGUCAUAAAAUGUAUUCUGUCUUCUUUAUUAAUCAGAUGAGCGCCUUAUGUUUACAAUCUGUAUUACAUCGGUCAUCCGAGGCUGUCUUUGAGUUUCAUUGUGUUUAACUAAAUGAACACAGCUGCUAACUGGUUAAACUCUAUCGGUCACGUGACGUGCCGUGCCACAGACCUGGGAUCCGUUUUAUAUUCAUUUCAGGUUCAAAGAUGUAAGUUGUAUUUGUAGUAAAAUCAUGGUAACCAUGACACCUACAAUAGUAGGUAAAACCCAGUAAACAAGACAUUUACCAUGUUUUUUUUUUUGUUUUUUUUUACCACAGUAACUGUAGUUUUACUGUGGUAUAGUAAUAGCACAAUAAUCACCAAAAUAACUAUAGUUGUACCACUGUAAUGGUAGUGUUUUAAUGUGCUUUUAUAUGACAUAUUUCACAGUAAUCACAUUUACUGUACCAUGCUUGUAAUACCUUUUUAAUGUAAAUCAAAAAAAAAAAAAAAAAAAAACAUUUUUCCCAUCUUGCAGUUCAAUUCAUAUUGUUUUAUAUCUUAAAUAUUUUGCUCACAGAUCACUAUUAACAUUCUGUAUAUAAUUCUGUUUUAUUUUCUUUCCCCUUGUAUUAAUUUCUUAGCUGAAAAGGCGUAAAGGAAGCAGUCACCCCAGUGGUGCUUGUGGAGAGGUAUUCCUUCAGAAAUUGAGAAGACAGAAAGCUGCAGAGGCAGGAUUGUUUCCAGAUAACACUGUAGUUCUCCGUCAUGCACAAGGACUCACCCCCCCCCCCCCCCCCACACACACACAGAAAUGGUUCCUGGAUCAGUGACUCAAGACUUUGGAGUGGUUUGAUUUCUGCAGAAGAUGUAACUUUGUUUUAAUUAACCUUAUAAUGAAUACAUUGUGACCUUCCAGCAACCCAUAUACUGUACUGUAUACAGAACCAGUGAUGACAACAAUAGUUAAAAAAUAGCAUUUAUCAUAUUGAUAAAGCAUUGUGUUCUCUUUGUCAAGGUUCAUACAGUAAACUUUACUUCUGGUGCUUUUAUCAUAAAAAAGCAUCAGUUCUGAUCAGGAGUUUUAGUAAAGCACAUAUUCAUGCACAGCAAUCCCCUAGUUCCAGUCAUGAAGUGAAUGAUGUUAUUGUUAAAGUUAUAUUUCUGCAUUUUUAUGUAGCAGGUGUUUGUUUUCCUGAACACUUUAUCUUUCUUCCAUUGUUCGGACAAUCAGUGUUUAUCUGAUGCUGUGCUGAUUGAGUUUUAUAGAUGAUAUUGCACACUUGACAUGCAUGUCUUCAUGAUGUUAUUUUGUGGGUUUGAAACAUUUACAUUGUGUGUAUCACUUUUUGGUCAAUAGAAUCUUUUAAGAAAAUUUAUCUUUUUCCGGUGUUCUCUGAAAGACAUAUACCAUAUUUAUAAUGUUUUGUUUUUUAAUAAAAGAAUUUGAACACUGAAAAUUGUUAACGUUUACAACAUAACUGCCUUUUUAUUCUUCAUAGUUUUAUUCUUCAAAAACGAGCUUGGUGACAGUGCAGUAAUAUGCGCACUUUGUCUUUAAAUGAGUUUGACAUAUCAAUAAAUACUGGAAAAUUCUUAAAAAA
Molecule: long non-coding RNA, 1603 nt
Organism: Carassius gibelio (silver crucian carp)
Lineage: Eukaryota; Metazoa; Chordata; Actinopteri; Cypriniformes; Cyprinidae
Exons: 2
Source: RefSeq, a predicted model, not a curated record